AGAGUUUGAUCAUGGCUCAGGAUGAACGCUGGCGGCGCGCCUAACACAUGCAAGUCGAACGGUUAAAGCACCUCCGGGUGUGCAUAGAGUGGCGAACGGCUGAGUAACACGUGGGCAACCUGCCCCCCUCAUCGGGAUAGCCUCGGGAAACCGUGGGUAAUACCGAAUACUCCGGCACCCCCCGCAUGGGGGAGCCGGGAAAGCUCCGGCGGAGGGGGAUGGGCCCGCGGCCUGUUAGCUUGUUGGCGGGUAACGGCCCACCAAGGCGAUUAUGGGUAGCCGGGUUGAGAGACCGACCGGCCAGAUUGGGACUGAGACACGGCCCAGACUCCUACGGGAGGCAGCAGUGGGGAAUCUUGCACAAUGGGCGAAAGCCUGAUGCCAGCGACGCCGCGUGCGGGACGAAGGCCUUCGGGUUGUAAACCGCUUUCAGCAGGGACGAGGCCGCAAGGUGACGGUACCUGCAGAAGAAGCCCCGGCUAACUACGUGCCAGCCGCAGC
RNAcentral lists this ribosomal RNA (501 nucleotides) under uncultured bacterium. RNAcentral's name for it is "bacterial SSU rRNA". It matches the Rfam family "Bacterial small subunit ribosomal RNA", at positions 8 to 518 of the family's 1533-position model. The record is from RNAcentral.